RNAcentral lists this small RNA (148 nucleotides) under Pongo abelii (Sumatran orangutan). Its description in RNAcentral is "Metazoan signal recognition particle RNA (ENSPPYG00000033688.1)". The record is from Rfam by way of RNAcentral. Lineage: Eukaryota; Metazoa; Chordata; Mammalia; Primates; Hominidae.
GCCGGGCGUGGUGGUGUGCGUCUGUAGUCCCAGCUACUCAGGAGGCUGAGGCGGGAGGAUCUCUUGAGCCAGGGAGGUCGAGGCUGCAGUGAACCAAGAUCACACCACUGCACUCUAGCCUAAGCGACAGAGGGAGACCCUGUCUCGA